GGCUUUAUAGUCAAUAUUUAUUAUGAUAUUAGACUGCAAUUCUAAAGUAGGUUUAACCUAAAGCUU
RNAcentral lists this transfer RNA (66 nucleotides) under Eysarcoris ventralis. Its description in RNAcentral is "tRNA-Cys". Lineage: Eukaryota; Metazoa; Arthropoda; Insecta; Hemiptera; Pentatomidae. The record is from RNAcentral.